Molecule: ribosomal RNA, 293 nt
Filed under: uncultured bacterium
Lineage: Bacteria
Description: partial 16S ribosomal RNA
Rfam family: Bacterial small subunit ribosomal RNA
Source: RNAcentral
AGCGCCCUACGGGAGGCAGCAGUGAGGAAUAUUGGUCAAUGGGCGUAAGCCUGAACCAGCCAAGUCGCGUGAGGGACGACGGCCCUACGGGUUGUAAACCUCUUUUGCCGGGGGACAAACGGCGGCACGCGUGCCGUCCUGAGGGUACCCGGAGAAAAAGCAUCGGCUAACUCCGUGCCAGCAGCCGCGGUAAUACGGAGGAUGCGAGCGUUAUCCGGAUUUAUUGGGUUUAAAGGGUGCGUAGGCGGGAGGCCAGGUCAGCGGUCAAAUACGGGGGCUCAACCUGCGUCCGC